UACGUAGGGGGCAAGCGUUGUCCGGAAUCAUUGGGCGUAAAGCGCGCGUAGGCGGCCCGGUAAGUCCGUUGUGAAAGUCAAAGGCUCAACCUUUGAACGCCGAUGGAUACUGCCGGGCUAGAGUCCGGAAGAGGCGAGUGGAAUUCCUGGUGUAGCGGUGGAAUGCGCAGAUAUGCGGAGGAACACCGAUGGCGAAGGCAAUCCCCUGGGCCUGCACUGACGCUCAUGCACGAAAGCGUGGGGAGCAAACAGG
RNAcentral lists this ribosomal RNA (253 nucleotides) under uncultured bacterium. Its description in RNAcentral is "partial 16S ribosomal RNA". It matches the Rfam family "Bacterial small subunit ribosomal RNA", at positions 524 to 776 of the family's 1533-position model. The record is from RNAcentral.